CUGGCGGAGAGAGUUAAGAGGACGUGAAACCGGUGAGGUGGAAACGGACAGAGUUGGCGUAUCUGGCCUGUAUUCAGCUGCGGACUCGUUGGCGUCAGGUUGUCGCUCUCCAGACUGGGACGGCUGCCUGUUUGGUGGGGGGUUUGGGGGGGAUUUGCAGGGGGAAUGGGCUUAAGGGCUCCGGGGAACGGCAUUAACUCCGGCUUGAAGGCCACCCCUCACCGGGUCUGGUACCCCGGCCCCGGGGAAUGGUGGUUGGGCUGGGUGGAAAAAUACCGGAAUGGUCUCCGGCUCCCGGGGGGGCCAACUGGCACUUGGGGGCGGGCCCAUGGCACCCCUGGCGGGGGGCACUUCCGGCCCUGUGAAGGCUCCCAUCUGCCGGUCCUCGGGGUAAAAACCCAUCAUCUGGUCCACCCCUCUUGAAACCCCGACCAAGGAAUUUAACGGUGUGCGAAUCAUUGGGCGUUGAAACCCAAAAGCGCAAUGGAGUGAAGGGCUCCCCUGCGGAACUGAUGUGUGAACUGGUCACACUGCGUGCAUUCAGGGCCCAUAUAUCCCGUCCUGACCGGUUGCGCGUGGGCGGAGACAGAACGGACGCGCUGAGACCCAAGAUAGUGAACUAUUCCUGAACAAGAUGAGCCGUGGAACUCUCGUGGAAUCCGAACGAUCUGACUGCAAUCCAUCUCUGACUGGUAUAGGCCAAGAAUAUCACAUCUUACUGUCCCUUCGAA
RNAcentral lists this ribosomal RNA (731 nucleotides) under Rotylenchus brevicaudatus. Its description in RNAcentral is "partial large subunit ribosomal RNA". Lineage: Eukaryota; Metazoa; Nematoda; Chromadorea; Rhabditida; Hoplolaimidae. The record is from RNAcentral.